CAAAGCAAUUGAACUAAUAGAGGUGGGUUCAAAUACAAGGAAAGACUGGUUAUAUGAAUUGGAUCUAUUAGUAUCACAAUUGACUGUACUCUAGUUAUCUGAAAUCAAUUAUCAAACUACAAAACACCAAGGCUUACUACUUCCAUCUUAAUUCAACACAUAAUCCAUUCUAUGAAUAUCAAUUCAACAAUACUUUCAUAUUCUUAUCGGUUCAUCUCCCACUUACUCUCUUUGCAGUUUAUAUAUAUUCAAUUACUGAUCUCUUUCUUACUUAUUAUAUUCAGUUUCUCAAUUCAUCACACAAAAUUCAAUAUCUUCACUUAAUAUAAUACAAUUCGAUAAUCUCAAUUCUCAAGGUCAUAGAUUUUCUCCAAAACGGUCAGUCCAAAGUCAUAUUCCAUAAUAUUCUAAU
Molecule: long non-coding RNA, 412 nt
Filed under: Physcomitrium patens
Lineage: Eukaryota; Viridiplantae; Streptophyta; Bryopsida; Funariales; Funariaceae
Description: long non-coding RNA (PPAT_LNC007140)
Source: RNAcentral